Molecule: long non-coding RNA, 309 nt
Filed under: Nicotiana benthamiana
Lineage: Eukaryota; Viridiplantae; Streptophyta; Magnoliopsida; Solanales; Solanaceae
Description: long non-coding RNA (NBEN_LNC011231)
Source: RNAcentral
CUCUAUGACCUCACAUUCAACCCAACAAGAAUUUGGGAUGGAACCUUGAGAAUGGUAGUCCCAAGUAACGGGUUAAACCUCGAGAGAGUAAUCACCCUACUUGAAUCUUAAGUUGCUUGGGCAAAUUAGCCUACCCAAUUAGUUUCGAGAGAGUCAACUGGUAUCUCUACCAAGAGGUGUGAGAGUGAAUGCUAAAGUGCAACGGUUAUCCAUAUUCCCCAUAAUUAUCAUCCUUGUGUUAAAAUUUUAUACUCGUCAAUUAGCCACCUAGGUGAGUGUCAUGACCCUAGUGCCUUUCUCUUAUUGGAU